CAAUAGCGUAUAUUUAAGUUGUUGCAGUUAAAAAGCUCGUAGUUGGAUUUCGGGUGGGAAUGGCCGGUCCGCCGUUUCGGUGUGCACUUGCUACGCCCACCUUGCUGCCGGGGACGUGCUCUUGAGUUCACGCUCGGGACACGGAGUCGGCGAGGUUACUUUGAGUAAAUUAGAGUGUUCAAAGCAGGCCUACGCUCUGAAUACAUUAGCAUGGAAUAACACGAUAGGACUCUGGCCUAUCUUGUUGGUCUGUAGGACCGGAGUAAUGAUUAAGAGGGACAGUCGGGGGCAUUCGUAUUUCAUUGUCAGAGGUGAAAUUCUUGGAUUUAUGAAAGACGAACUACUGCGAAAGCAUUCGCCAUGGAUGUUUUCAUUAA
This 377-nucleotide ribosomal RNA is filed under the name uncultured eukaryote. RNAcentral's name for it is "partial 18S ribosomal RNA". It matches the Rfam family "Eukaryotic small subunit ribosomal RNA", at positions 592 to 976 of the family's 1831-position model. The record is from RNAcentral.